This 564-nucleotide ribosomal RNA is filed under the name uncultured bacterium. Its description in RNAcentral is "bacterial SSU rRNA". It matches the Rfam family "Bacterial small subunit ribosomal RNA", at positions 268 to 849 of the family's 1533-position model. The record is from RNAcentral.
CCAAGGCGACGAUCAGUAGCCGGCCUGAGAGGGUGAACGGCCACAUUGGGACUGAGACACGGCCCAAACUCCUACGGGAGGCAGCAGUGGGGAAUAUUGCACAAUGGGGGAAACCCUGAUGCAGCAACGCCGCGUGAGUGAAGAAGUAUUUCGGUAUGUAAAGCUCUAUCAGCAGGAAAGAAAAUGACGGUACCUGACUAAGAAGCCCCGGCUAACUACGUGCCAGCAGCCGCGGUAAUACGUAGGGGGCAAGCGUUAUCCGGAUUUACUGGGUGUAAAGGGAGCGUAGACGGUUUUGCAAGUCUGAAGUGAAAGCCCGGGGCUUAACCCCGGGACUGCUUUGGAAACUGUAGGACUAGAGUGCAGGAGAGGUAAGUGGAAUUCCUAGUGUAGCGGUGAAAUGCGUAGAUAUUAGGAGGAACACCAGUGGCGAAGGCGGCUUACUGGACUGUAACUGACGUUGAGGCUCGAAAGCGUGGGGAGCAAACAGGAUUAGAUACCCUGGUAGUCCACGCCGUAAACGACGAAAGGGAGGUGUUGGUGGGUAUGACCCAUCGGUGCCGC